GAUGAACGCUGGCGGCGUGCCUAAUACAUGCAAGUCGAGCGAACAGACGAGGAGCUUGCUCCUCUGACGUUAGCGGCGGACGGGUGAGUAACACGUGGAUAACCUACCUAUAAGACUGGGAUAACUUCGGGAAACCGGAGCUAAUACCGGAUAAUAUAUUGAACCGCAUGGUUCAAUAGUGAAAGACGGUUUUGCUGUCACUUAUAGAUGGAUCCGCGCCGCAUUAGCUAGUUGGAAAGGUAACGGCUUACCAAGGCGACGAUGCGUAGCCGACCUGAGAGGGUGAUCGGCCACACUGGAACUGAGACACGGUCCAGACUCCUACGGGAGGCAGCAGUAGGGAAUCUUCCGCAAUGGGCGAAAGCCUGACGGAGCAACGCCGCGUGAGUGAUGAAGGUCUUCGGAUCGUAAAGCUCUGUUAUUAGGGAAGAACAAAUGUGUAAGUAACUAUGCACGUCUUGACGGUACCUAAUCAGAAAGCCACGGCUAACUACGUG
RNAcentral lists this ribosomal RNA (497 nucleotides) under uncultured bacterium. RNAcentral's name for it is "partial 16S ribosomal RNA". It matches the Rfam family "Bacterial small subunit ribosomal RNA", at positions 28 to 507 of the family's 1533-position model. The record is from RNAcentral.